This 225-nucleotide ribosomal RNA is filed under the name uncultured bacterium. RNAcentral describes it as "partial 16S ribosomal RNA". It matches the Rfam family "Bacterial small subunit ribosomal RNA", at positions 109 to 334 of the family's 1533-position model. The record is from RNAcentral.
AGUAACGCGUGGGUAACCUGUCUUAUACAGGGGGAUAACAGUCAGAAAUGGCUGCUAAUACCGCAUAAGCGCACAGAGCUGCAUGGCUCAGUGUGAAAAACUCCGGUGGUAUAAGAUGGACCCGCGUUGGAUUAGCUUGUUGGUGGGGUAACGGCCCACCAAGGCGACGAUCCAUAGCCGGCCUGAGAGGGUGAACGGCCACAUUGGGACUGAGACACGGCCCAG